GCCUUCGUGAUGUAGGGGUCAGCACGCUAGGCGCGUAUUCUAGAGAUCCGUGGUUCGAGUCCCGGAGAAGGCG
This is a non-coding RNA of Stegodyphus mimosarum, 73 nucleotides long. Lineage: Eukaryota; Metazoa; Arthropoda; Arachnida; Araneae; Eresidae. The record is from Rfam.